AGCGAACGCUGGCGGCAGGCCUAACACAUGCAAGUCGAACGAACCUUUCGGGGUUAGUGGCGGACGGGUGAGUAACACGUGGGAACGUGCCUUUAGGUUCGGAAUAACUCAGGGAAACUUGUGCUAAUACCGAAUGUGCCCUUCGGGGGAAAGAUUUAUCGCCUUUAGAGCGGCCCGCGUCUGAUUAGCUAGUUGGUUGAGGUAAUGGCUCACCAAGGCGACGAUCAGUAGCUGGUCUGAUAGGAUGAUCAGCCACAUUGGGACUGAGACACGGCCCAAACUCCUACGGGAGGCAGCAGUGGGGAAUCUUGCGCAAUGGGCGAAAGCCUGACGCAGCCAUGCCGCGUGAAUGAUGAAGGUCUUAGGAUUGUAAAAUUCUUUCACCGGGGACGAUAAUGACGGUACCCGGAGAAGAAGCCCCGGCUAACUUCGUG
RNAcentral lists this ribosomal RNA (434 nucleotides) under uncultured bacterium. Its description in RNAcentral is "partial 16S ribosomal RNA". It matches the Rfam family "Bacterial small subunit ribosomal RNA", at positions 29 to 507 of the family's 1533-position model. The record is from RNAcentral.